UGGGGAAUAUUGCACAAUGGGCGCAAGCCUGAUGCAGCCAUGCCGCGUGUAUGAAGAAGGCCUUCGGGUUGUAAAGUACUUUCGGCGAGGAGGAAGGCGAUAAGGUUAAUAACCUUGUCGAUUGACGUUACUCGCAGAAGAAGCACCGGCUAACUCCGUGCCAGCAGCCGCGGUAAUACGGAGGGUGCAAGCGUUAAUCGGAAUUACUGGGCGUAAAGCGCACGCAGGCGGUCUGUCAUGUCGGAUGUGAAAUCCCCGGGCUCAACCUGGGAACUGCAUCCGAAACUGGCAGGCUAGAGUCUUGUAGAGGGGGGUAGAAUUCCAGGCGUAGCGGUGAAAUGCGUAGAGAUCUGGAGGAAUACCGGUGGCGAAGGCGGCCCCCUGGACAAAGACUGACGCUCAGGUGCGAAAGCGUGGGGAGCAAACA
RNAcentral lists this ribosomal RNA (427 nucleotides) under uncultured bacterium. RNAcentral describes it as "bacterial SSU rRNA". It matches the Rfam family "Bacterial small subunit ribosomal RNA", at positions 355 to 774 of the family's 1533-position model. The record is from RNAcentral.